This 196-nucleotide small nuclear RNA is filed under the name Solanum lycopersicum (tomato). Its description in RNAcentral is "U2 spliceosomal RNA". It matches the Rfam family "U2 spliceosomal RNA". From Rfam's summary of the family: U2 is a small nuclear RNA (snRNA) component of the spliceosome (involved in pre-mRNA splicing). Complementary binding between U2 snRNA (in an area lying towards the 5' end but 3' to hairpin I) and the branchpoint sequence (BPS) of the intron results the bulging out of an unpaired adenosine, on the BPS, which initiates a nucleophilic attack at the intronic 5' splice site, thus starting the first of two transesterification reactions that mediate splicing. Lineage: Eukaryota; Viridiplantae; Streptophyta; Magnoliopsida; Solanales; Solanaceae. The record is from Rfam by way of RNAcentral.
AUACCUUUUUCGGCCUUUUGGCUAAGAUCAAGUGUAGUAUCUGUUCUUAUCAGUUGAAUAUCUGAUAUGUGGAUCAUUGAUCCACACGAUAUUAACUCAAUUUUUUAAGGGGAAGAGUCCAUUAAGGUAGCUUGCUACCUGGGCUCUUGCGCAUCUCCCAUGCGUUGCACUACUGCACGGGCCUGGCGCACCCCAC